GACGAACGCUGGCGGCGUGCUUAACACAUGCAAGUCGAACGGAAAGGCCCUGCUUUUGUGGGGUGCUCGAGUGGCGAACGGGUGAGUAACACGUGAGUAACCUGCCCUUGACUUUGGGAUAACUUCAGGAAACUGGGGCUAAUACCGGAUAGGAGCUCCUGCUGCAUGGUGGGGGUUGGAAAGUUUCGGCGGUUGGGGAUGGACUCGCGGGUUAUCAGCUUGUUGGUGGGGUAGUGGCUUACCAAGGCUUUGACGGGUAGCCGGCCUGGGAGGGUGACCGGCCACAUUGGGACUGAGAUACGGCCCAGACUCCUACGGGAGGCAGCAGUGGAGAAUAUUGCACAGUGGGCGGAAGCCUGAUGCAGCAACGCCGCGUGCGGGAUGACGGCCUUCGGGUUGUAAACCGCUUUCGCCUGUGACGAAGCGUGAGUGACGGUAAUGGGUAAAGAAGCACCGGCUAACUACGUG
Molecule: ribosomal RNA, 468 nt
Filed under: uncultured bacterium
Lineage: Bacteria
Description: partial 16S ribosomal RNA
Rfam family: Bacterial small subunit ribosomal RNA
Source: RNAcentral